Vespa mandarinia (Asian giant hornet) is the source of this 796-nucleotide long non-coding RNA. The record is from RefSeq and is a predicted model, not a curated record. NCBI's taxonomy places the organism in Eukaryota, Metazoa, Arthropoda, Insecta, Hymenoptera, Vespidae.
GCGUAGGGUGGUAGAGUAGAGAGAAACGCGAUGGGAGCGGAGGAGAGGACAGAAGCAAGGAUACCGGAGAGAAAGAGGGGUUAGGAGACAGCUGCAGGCCAUGCGAGGGUCCGCCGACCAAGCCUGGCCGUUUACCGCGGAAUACACGGCGAGCGAGCGAGCGCGCGCGCGAGAUAGAACCAACACCAAUGAGAGAGCGAGAAAGAGAUAGAAGAAAGGAGAGUAUACGCGAUACGCGAGUGAUAGAGAGAGAGAGAGAGAAAGAGAGAGAGAGAGAUGAUUUUUGCAAAUCGAUCGUUUUCGUCGAGGCUCGUCGUAACGAUUUCUGACAACCUACAAUCUUUCGAUGCAAAACUAUAUAUAUAUAUAUAUAAAAUAAAAAAGUUGUUACUUUUUCGAAUCUAUGGACAAACACAUGAUUUUUGUAGCGAGCGUUCUCGCAACGAUUCUACCUCUCGUUUUGUUAACGGGUUUUUUUCUUUUCUUUUUCUUUUUUUUUUCUUUUACUACUAUUCAUUUUAAGUUCGUUAAUAAAAUAAACUAUGUUUAUAUAUAUAUACACAUACAGACAUAUAUAUAUAUAUAUAUAUAUAUAGAUAUAUUUGCCGUCUCGGCGAGAAAGAGAAAAAAUUUGUUAAAGAAAAAGAAGAGAAAAAGAGACCAGAGGCACGAAGGGGAUCUCGCAUCGCUCGGCGGAAUCGUUAUUCGCGCUUACGUAGCUUUUUAUUAAUAAAAAAAGAAAAAAAGAGAAAAAAAGACAAGAAAAAGAAAAGGAAACAAAAAAAAAGAAAGAAAA